RNAcentral lists this ribosomal RNA (598 nucleotides) under uncultured methanogenic archaeon. RNAcentral describes it as "bacterial SSU rRNA". It matches the Rfam family "Archaeal small subunit ribosomal RNA", at positions 728 to 1332 of the family's 1478-position model. The record is from RNAcentral. Lineage: Archaea; Methanobacteriati; Methanobacteriota.
GAUAGAUUCCGUGUAGUCAAGGUGUAACGCUGCGGACUUGGUUUGGGGGCCCUUCGGGGAACUCCAGUCCGGGAGAAAAGUGUAAAGUCGGCCACUUGGGGAGUACGUCGCAAGGAUGAAACUAAAAGGAAUGGGCGGGGGAGCACCGCAACGGGAGGAGCGUGCGGUUUAAUUGGAUUCAACACCGGAAAACUCACCAAGGGCGACUGUUACAUGAAAGCCAGGCUAAUGACCUUGCUUGAUUUUCAGAGAGGUGGUGCAUGGCCGUCGUCAGUUCGUACCGUAAGGCGUUCUCUUAAGUGAGAUAACGAACGAGACCCUCACCGAUAAUUGCCAGUCCGAUCCCCGGAUCGGGCGCACAUUAUAGGGACCGCUGGCGCUAAGUCAGAGGAAGGAGAGGUCAACGGUAGGUCAGUAUGCCCCGAAUCUCUUGGGCUACACGCGCGCUACAAAGGGCAGGGACAAUGGGUUCCGACGCCGAGAGGCGGAGGCAAUCCCGAAACCCGUCCGUAGUUCGGAUUGAGGCUUGUAACUCAGCCUCAUGAAGCUGGAUUCCGUAGUAAUCGCGAAUCAAAAACUCGCGGUGAAUAUGCCCCUG